Medicago truncatula (barrel medic) is the source of this 682-nucleotide long non-coding RNA. RefSeq lists it as uncharacterized. NCBI's taxonomy places the organism in Eukaryota, Viridiplantae, Streptophyta, Magnoliopsida, Fabales, Fabaceae. The record is from RefSeq and is a predicted model, not a curated record. The transcript has 3 exons.
AGAACCGAUAAAUGCAAUUAGUUGGGAUGCAGCCCACUACUCUCACCACUACACCUUCAUUCACGGAAGUAACAGAGAAGUGACCCAUUAUUUACACCACCACCGUUUCACAUUAUAUAUGUAUAGGAGCCUUAGUAGGAAAACCCAGUUCUUUUGCUCUGAAGUGCUGCAGAACAGAGGUAAUUCUAGUGCAAUCGAUCAACUUCUUAUUUUCCUCAAAAUUCCCAAUUGAUUUUCUCUACCUGUCAUCUUUGAUUCCGAAAAUUCAAGUAGUAGCCAUCAGUUCAAUUUCCCUUCAGCGCUUCGUUGUCAUUCCUGUGAGUCUACUUUUGAGUUUUCUGCUCUAUUGGAUUGUGGGUUUUCACCUUGAGAUCAUCCUCAGGAUGAGACUGAGGAGUAAUGUCAAGGUGAUUCCACUAGGAUGGAGUGGAGAACUAUUAUUCCACUUAUGUCAUUAUGUUUUGCUGGAGACUUUUGUCGGAUCGUGACUUUCAUCUAUUUGGGUUGUUAGGCUCUGAUAUUGUGACAUCGGGGUCGGAUUUAAUAAAGUAGUUGUGAAUUUAUUUUGUGAUUUAUUUCAUUUUGAAAACUAUCCGUUAUAUUAGUUUUAUUAUGAAGAAGUUUGUAAGUCUCAAAUAGCCAAAGAUAUUUCUCUUUCAAUUUAUGAUGUUGGAUUUUAAUA